RNAcentral lists this long non-coding RNA (886 nucleotides) under Neodiprion pinetum (white pine sawfly). RNAcentral's name for it is "uncharacterized LOC124220850". The record is from RNAcentral. Lineage: Eukaryota; Metazoa; Arthropoda; Insecta; Hymenoptera; Diprionidae.
AACUACUUCACUUAUUUUACAUCAAGUUAAAACACAAAUAUAUUAUAUCAGGAAAUCUGACAAAAUGGGGCACAAAUUUCCACCUCAACUACCGUAGAUGGCAGUAAAUUCCGUUACAGGCUGAGUGAUUUGGCAUGGAAUACGUCACGUACAAGAAACACUGGUUUCAAAUAUCCGGAGGAUCGUAGCAUCCUAGAGGAUUGGCUGAAGCAGCGAGGUUUGCAAACGUUACGUGAAACGAACUCGAUAUUGCUAACAAUCGAUGACUGACCAUGAGCCACAAUUUAUAUCAUCACGCGUCUGGCGUUUGUAGCAACUUUGUUUCAACGAAACCGUUUCACAUUCAUCAGACAUUACGACUCAUUCCGAACGUGGCACUGGGUUCAAGGAUAAACGUGAUUGGAAGAAUUGGCACGCUGCCCGGUGAAUACUAAUUUCAGCCAAUGCUACUGUCCGUGUCAAUGGAACUUACUAGAUGAAUUGGUGUAUUUCAAUAUCUACACUGGCGACUCUUCGGAGGAGGGUGGAGAACGGAGGUUGUGGCCUUGGCUUAAGGGGAGAUAUACACCUAGAAGCCGUAAAAAAAGGUGUAUAUCUCCCCUUAAAGCGAUGAGGCGCAUUAUUUUUUCGUCAGAAUCGACAUCACAUUCGAAACCGUUGGCCUUUACAUUGACUCUACUUUGGUUUGCCAAUUCCAAGAGAUCGUUUAUCAAGCAAGGGGGUAAUCAUGCAUGCCGCACUGAUGUGCGGAAGUCUGCAGACAUAUCGUUUUCGCCGUGAUUUAAACAUUUUAACAUUUUAAGAUGUUUUAUUGGUCACUACUAUUCAUCACGUGCAUUUAUUACUUGGAGCAUACUACGCAUAUUGAGGAGCAAGGAACAAAAGA